CAGUGAGGUCACAGUGGAGUGGGUAACAGGGCCUUAGACCAGUGUAACUCUUGUCCUUGUAAGACUGAGAUCAUGUGAACACACUCAGGGGGAACCCCAUGUGAUGACAAAGGCAGCUGCAAGCCAAGGAGCACCAAUACGGCCAGCAAGCCACCUGAAAGGAAAGAGAUCAGAACAGAUCUUCCCUCAGUCUUGCCAACAACUGUAUCUCCAAUUUUUACCUGUGGUCCAAAAAUGCUGAGUAGAAAAUUCUUGAAGUAGACAAGUUUUAAAUUAUGCACUGCUGGAUUGAACUCAGGACCUUGAGCUUCCAAGGCCCGAUGGGGACACAGAGCUGUGUUACAUCAUGUCAGACGGCAAUCGACGCGCUGCUAACACAAGCUGACAAGAAGGCCCUAGCAAUCUGCUUAUCUGGAUCCUGCCCUUGCUGAGUAAAGGCCACUAUCAGAAUUAUUCACACGGAAUUACAGCAGCUGGGAGUCUGCAGAGUACUCAUUACAUCACCCUCAGGUUAGUCACUCAGCACGGAGGGAGCCUAGCCUGCCCUGGCCCCUGCCCCUUCCCCGCCCUUCCCCGGCAGGUGGGGUCCUUCCUGGCUCACACACCAAGACCAAAAGUCACAUCGGGCCAGUCUCAGAGUGGCCUUGUCUGUGCACAGGGUCUCUUUUCUGAGGUCCUUGCUGUGCAGUGAGCAGAGUCACGCAACGGGGGGACCCUGGAGGAGAAGGAGGCUUGGGACAAGGUAGUGAGGCCCUUUCCUGGAAGGGUCCCGCCAACCUCUGGGCCCAAAUAUCACUGCAAGCAAUUUAAUGGACCUGUGGAGUCUCCAGCCUGACUUCCACAGAGGCUGCCUGCUUCCUACAUGUCUUGCAAAGGAAAAGACACGAGUACUGAGAGGAGAAGACACCUCAAGAAUGCUCAGACCCUCUGAGACGUUCCCAGCUUGCUCCCACGAGCCAACCCUGGCUUCUACCCUUGACACACCCCUCCUGCACCUCCUCAAGCGACAAGCCCACACCUGCAAUCCAAACACACUCGGGGUACACCCGGCACAUGUCCGUUCCCAUGCAAAACCCAGCAAAACUGAUGGUGGAGGCUGUGGGAGAGAGGCGGGAAGAGAGAAUGUGGUUAAGAAGGUGGGUUCAAAGGCAUGGGCCCCUUAUUACUGCCAUCCCGUAAUAACACACAGGAGCAACAUGGCCUGAACUUGAAGGCAGGCAGGGCUGGAGGAAGAUCAAGGCUUCUGGGAAAGACAGAAGUGCUCUCUGACCUAUUUACUGAUUUAUGUUCAAAUUGUGAUUCAAAUUCUAGCUAUACCCUAUUUUACACAUAUCAGAACUUGGCGGAAAUUCCCAGCCUGUCUCUGGCCCCAGCUGCUCUCCAAAAUAGUGUCC
This 1394-nucleotide long non-coding RNA is filed under the name Heterocephalus glaber (naked mole-rat). Its description in RNAcentral is "lncRNA (ENSHGLG00100037843.1)". Lineage: Eukaryota; Metazoa; Chordata; Mammalia; Rodentia; Bathyergidae. The record is from RNAcentral.